UACAGGGGGUGCAAACGUUGCUCGGAAUUAUUGGGCGUAAAGCGCGCGUAGGCGGCUACUUAAGUCGGAUGUGAAAGCCCUUGGCUCAACUGAGGAAGUGCACCCGAAACUGAGUAGCUGGAGUACGAAAGAGGGUCGCGGAAUUCCCCAAGUAGAGGUGAAAUUCGUAGAUAUGGGGAGGAACACCGGUGGCGAAGGCGGCCAUCUGGACGAGUACUGACGCUGAGACGCGAAAGCGUGGGUAGCAAACAGG
This 253-nucleotide ribosomal RNA is filed under the name uncultured bacterium. RNAcentral's name for it is "partial 16S ribosomal RNA". It matches the Rfam family "Bacterial small subunit ribosomal RNA", at positions 524 to 776 of the family's 1533-position model. The record is from RNAcentral.